CCUACGGGGGGCAGCAGUGGGGAAUAUUGGACAAUGGGCGCAAGCCUGAUCCAGCAAUGCCGCGUGUGUGAAGAAGGCCUGCGGGUUGUAAAGCACUUUAAGCAGGAAAGAAGGGGUGAAAGUUAAUACCUUUCAUCAUUGACGUUACCUGCAGAAUAAGCACCGGCUAACUCCGUGCCAGCAGCCGCGGUAAUACGGAGGGUGCGGCCGGUAGGCGGAAUUACCGGGCGUACGGCAAGCCCCGGGGGUUAACCUGGGAACUGCGGUGGAUACUGUCGGGCUAGAGUGUGGUAGAGGGGAGUGGAAUUUCCGGUGUAGCAGUGAAAUGCGUAGAGAUCGGAAGGAACACCAGUGGCGAAGGCGGCUCCCUGGACUAACACUGACGCUGAGGUGCGAAAGCGUGGGGAGCAAACAGGAUUAGAUACCCCAGUAGUC
RNAcentral lists this ribosomal RNA (435 nucleotides) under uncultured bacterium. RNAcentral's name for it is "partial 16S ribosomal RNA". It matches the Rfam family "Bacterial small subunit ribosomal RNA", at positions 338 to 795 of the family's 1533-position model. The record is from RNAcentral.